GGAGGAGCUAUGCGGGGUCUCAGCUUUUUGUGCUGGCUGCCUUCAGUCUCAGUGCUGCUCAGCUGACUGCACGGAGACUCUUGAGCAGAGACUUCCAGUUUUGGAUGCUUAGCUUCCAGCUGUGCGCCGCAGCCCUGUCAAUAAACAUUCAACCUUGAGAACGAGCGUUCCUUCCCUGCUGAUCUCCUGGGAAGGCUGGAGGUGAUGGAUGUCAGUGGGAGACGCACCACAAUUGCUGGGAGCCCGGAGCCAGGCGCUGACCACUGUAAGCGAUACCUCCCACUGCUGCCCUGCGUGGGACCACCAGCAAAGCGGCCCCAGAAACCAAGCCCCAACCAGUACCAAACAGAACAAGGGGCGAUGCACCAUGUGCAGCCACGGGGACCCAUUUGCUGUUGUGUGGAUGCACACACGCUUUGUGACCACUUGCACUGUGUGCUGCCAAAUGCUUGCGGGGAUGCUACGCUACAUCUGCACUGAUCCAGUAGCACCCAGGUGCUGGUGGCUGCACAGACAUGGGGAGAGGCUGAGCCCCACCAGGUGAGUGCGAG
This 551-nucleotide long non-coding RNA is filed under the name Gallus gallus (chicken). Lineage: Eukaryota; Metazoa; Chordata; Aves; Galliformes; Phasianidae. The record is from RNAcentral.